GGGAGAAGCCCAGCACUGAAUCGCGUGUCCACUGGGCACUGCGAAAUGUAGUGUUUGGGAGGGUCCGCUAUUCCGCGGUUUGGUGAUGAGUCCAAGUCCUUCUUGAACGGGGCCAUUAACCCAUAGAGGGUGCCAGGCCCGUAGUGACCAUUGCCGGCUGCGGAAGGAUUUCUCCUUAGAGUCGGGUUGCUUGAGAGUGCAGCCCUAAGUAGGUGGUAAACUCCAUCUAAGGCUAAAUAUAACCACGAGACCGAUAGCGAACAAGUACCGUGAGGGAAAGUUGAAAAGAACUUUGAAGAGAGAGUUCAAUAGUACGUGAAACCGUUUAGGGGUAAACCUGAGAAACCCGAAAGUUCGAACAAAGAGAUUCAGCGCGUCUCGGCAGACACGAGUUGCUCUUGGAUGACAAGGAUCGUUCGCGAUUGUUGCUCUUUGCGUAACCGCAGUUUGUCGAACGCGUGCACUUCUCUUUUAGUAGGACGUCGCGACCCGUUGGGUGUCGGUCUGAGGCUUGCGGUGGAGCCUGUUCGUCGGUUUCGGCCGUGCGUUCAGACCCGUGAUGUCCCGGCCGGCUGCUUGACGGUAGAACUAAGGCGCAGAGCCGCGACUAGCUCGCGUUCGGCUCAAUGCAAGCGCAAUCGGUUACUCGUUCGUCGGACUUGUCCGAUCUCGAGGCCGGUUGGCUGUUGGCGUUGAUGCUCCCGGACAGACUCUGUUCACGCCUGUCAGCGGCGCUAUAGCUUUGGGUACUUUCAGGACCCGUCUUGAAACACGGACCAAGGAGUCUAGCAUGUGCGCGAGUCACUGGGACAAAUAAAUCCUAAAGGCGUAAUGAAAGUGAAUGUGAGCCUAGCUCAACAUAGGGAAGAUGGGUGACAAAUGUCGCCUCGCACUCCCGGGGCGUCUCGUUCUCAUUGCGAGAUGAGGCGCACCUAGAGCGUACACGCUGGGACCCGAAAGA
RNAcentral lists this ribosomal RNA (961 nucleotides) under Orphnebius draco. Its description in RNAcentral is "eukaryotic LSU rRNA". It matches the Rfam family "Eukaryotic large subunit ribosomal RNA", at positions 100 to 823 of the family's 3401-position model. Lineage: Eukaryota; Metazoa; Arthropoda; Insecta; Coleoptera; Staphylinidae. The record is from RNAcentral.